RNAcentral lists this transfer RNA (73 nucleotides) under Trichonephila inaurata madagascariensis. It matches the Rfam family "tRNA". From Rfam's summary of the family: Transfer RNA (tRNA) molecules are approximately 80 nucleotides in length. Their secondary structure includes four short double-helical elements and three loops (D, anti-codon, and T loops). Further hydrogen bonds mediate the characteristic L-shaped molecular structure. tRNAs have two regions of fundamental functional importance: the anti-codon, which is responsible for specific mRNA codon recognition, and the 3' end, to which the tRNAs corresponding amino acid is attached (by aminoacyl-tRNA synthetases). tRNAs cope with the degeneracy of the genetic code in two manners: having more than one tRNA (with a specific anti-codon) for a particular amino acid; and 'wobble' base-pairing, i.e. permitting non-standard base-pairing at the 3rd anti-codon position. Lineage: Eukaryota; Metazoa; Arthropoda; Arachnida; Araneae; Nephilidae. The record is from Rfam by way of RNAcentral.
GUCCCACUAGCGUAAUGGAUAGCGCGUUGGAAUUCUAAUUCAAAGGUCGUGGGCUCCAAUCCCUCCUGGGAUG